GCAAGUCGAGCGCACCUUCGGGUGAGCGGCGGCCGGGUUCGUAACGCUUGGGAAUAUACCCUUUACUAAGGAAUAGCCUCGGGAAACUGAGAGUAAUACCUUAUACGCCCUUCGGGGGAAAGAUUUAUCGGUAAAGGAUUAGCCCGCGUUAGAUUAGAUAGUUGGUGGGGUAAUGGCCUACCAAGUCUACGAUCUAUAGCUGGUUUGAGAGGAUGAUC
RNAcentral lists this ribosomal RNA (218 nucleotides) under uncultured bacterium. RNAcentral's name for it is "partial 16S ribosomal RNA". It matches the Rfam family "Bacterial small subunit ribosomal RNA", at positions 57 to 305 of the family's 1533-position model. The record is from RNAcentral.